RNAcentral lists this ribosomal RNA (2986 nucleotides) under Salinivibrio kushneri. RNAcentral describes it as "23S ribosomal RNA". It matches the Rfam family "Bacterial large subunit ribosomal RNA". Lineage: Bacteria; Pseudomonadati; Pseudomonadota; Gammaproteobacteria; Vibrionales; Vibrionaceae. The record is from RNAcentral.
GGUUAAGCGAUUAAGCGUAGACGGUGGAUGCCUUGGCAGUCAGAGGCGAUGAAGGACGUACUAACCUGCGAAAAGCGAUGGUGAGCUGGUAAGAAGCAUUUGAGCCAUCGAUGUCCGAAUGGGGAAACCCACCUGCAUAAGCAGGUAUCUUAGCGUGAAUACAUAGCGCUAAGAGGCGAACUCGGGGAACUGAAACAUCUAAGUACCCGAAGGAAAAGAAAUCAAUUGAGAUUCCGGCAGUAGCGGCGAGCGACCCCGGAGCAGCCCUUAAGCGGCUUAGGCGUUAGGUGAACAGGUUGGAAAACCUGGCAAUAAAGGGUGAUAGCCCCGUAACCGACGGCGCCUUAGGCGUGAAAACGAGUAAGACGGGACACGUGAUAUCUUGUCUGAACAUGGGGGGACCAUCCUCCAAGGCUAAAUACUCCUGACUGACCGAUAGUGAACCAGUACCGUGAGGGAAAGGCGAAAAGAACCCCUGUGAGGGGAGUGAAAUAGAACCUGAAACCGUCUACGUACAAGCAGUGGGAGCCCCAUCACUAAGACACUUCAUCUUAGUGAGACGCUAUCACUUUGUUGAUUGGGUUAACCACGCGCAGCGUGGGUCAACCACCCAAUCAAGCAGAGGUGACUUAGUGAUGGGGUGACCGCGUACCUUUUGUAUAAUGGGUCAGCGACUUAAUGUAAGUAGCCAGGUUAACCGCAUAGGGGAGCCGUAGGGAAACCGAGUCUUAACUGGGCGACAGUUGCUUGCAUUAGACCCGAAACCGAGUGAUCUAGCCAUGGGCAGGUUGAAGGUUGAGUAACAUCAACUGGAGGACCGAACUCACUAACGUUGAAAAGUUAGGAGAUGACCUGUGGCUAGGGGUGAAAGGCCAAUCAAACUCGGAGAUAGCUGGUUCUCCCCGAAAGCUAUUUAGGUAGCGCCUCGGACGAACACUACUGGGGGUAGAGCACUGUUAAGGCUAGGGGGUCAUCCCGACUUACCAACCCUUUGCAAACUCCGAAUACCGGUAAGUGCUAUCCGGGAGACACACGGCGGGUGCUAACGUCCGUCGUGGAGAGGGAAACAACCCAGACCGCCAGCUAAGGUCCCCAAGUUAUCGCUAAGUGGGAAACGAUGUGGGAAGGCUCAGACAGCCAGGAUGUUGGCUUAGAAGCAGCCAUCAUUUAAAGAAAGCGUAAUAGCUCACUGGUCGAGUCGGCCUGCGCGGAAGAUGUAACGGGGCUAAGCGAUACACCGAAGCUGCGGCAAUGUCCUUAUGGAUAUUGGGUAGGGGAGCGUUGUGUAAGCUGUUGAAGGUGUGCUGAGAGGCAUGCUGGAGGUAUCACAAGUGCGAAUGCUGACAUGAGUAACGAUAAAGGGGGUGAAAAACCUCCUCGCCGGAAGACCAAGGGUUCCUGUCCAACGUUAAUCGGGGCAGGGUAAGUCGGCCCCUAAGGCGAGGCCGAAAGGCGUAGUCGAUGGGAAACGGGUUAAUAUUCCCGUACUGCUGCUUACUGCGAUGGGGGGACGGAGAAGGCUAGGUGGGCCUGGCGAUGGUUGUCCAGGUUCAAGUGCGUAGGCUGAUUUCUUAGGCAAAUCCGGGAAAUCAAGGCCGAGACACGAUGUCGAGCCACCAAGGUGGUGAAGUCAUUGAUGCCAUGCUUCCGGGAAAAGCCUCUAAGCUUCAGGUAAGUAGGAACCGUACUCCAAACCGACACAGGUGGUCGGGUAGAGAAUACCAAGGCGCUUGAGAGAACUCGGGUGAAGGAACUAGGCAAAAUGGUACCGUAACUUCGGGAGAAGGUACGCUGCCCACGGUGAAGUCCCUUGCGGAUGGAGCUAUGGGCAGUCGCAGAUACCAGGUGGCUGCAACUGUUUAUUAAAAACACAGCACUGUGCAAAAUCGAAAGAUGACGUAUACGGUGUGACGCCUGCCCGGUGCCGGAAGGUUAAUUGAUGUGGUUAUCGCAAGAGAAGCCAUUGAUUGAAGCCCCGGUAAACGGCGGCCGUAACUAUAACGGUCCUAAGGUAGCGAAAUUCCUUGUCGGGUAAGUUCCGACCUGCACGAAUGGCGUAAUGAUGGCCACGCUGUCUCCACCCGAGACUCAGUGAAAUUGAAAUCGCAGUGAAGAUGCUGUGUACCCGCGGCUAGACGGAAAGACCCCGUGAACCUUUACUACAGCUUGGCACUGAACAUUGAGCCUACAUGUGUAGGAUAGGUGGGAGGCUUUGAAGCGGCGACGCCAGUUGCUGUGGAGCCAUCCUUGAAAUACCACCCUUGUAUGUUUGAUGUUCUAACUUAGCCCCGUUAUCCGGGGUGAGGACAGUGCCUGGUGGGUAGUUUGACUGGGGCGGUCUCCUCCCAAAGUGUAACGGAGGAGCACGAAGGUGGGCUAAUCACGGUCGGACAUCGUGAGGUUAGUGCAAUGGCAUAAGCCCGCUUAACUGCGAGAGUGACGGCUCGAGCAGGUACGAAAGUAGGUCAUAGUGAUCCGGUGGUUCUGAAUGGAAGGGCCAUCGCUCAACGGAUAAAAGGUACUCCGGGGAUAACAGGCUGAUACCGCCCAAGAGUUCAUAUCGACGGCGGUGUUUGGCACCUCGAUGUCGGCUCAUCACAUCCUGGGGCUGAAGUCGGUCCCAAGGGUAUGGCUGUUCGCCAUUUAAAGUGGUACGCGAGCUGGGUUUAGAACGUCGUGAGACAGUUCGGUCCCUAUCUGCCGUGGGCGUUGGAUGAUUGAGGGGAGCUGCUCCUAGUACGAGAGGACCGGAGUGGACGAACCGCUGGUGUUCGGGUUGUGUCGCCAGACGCAUUGCCCGGUAGCUAAGUUCGGCACAGAUAAGCGCUGAAAGCAUCUAAGCGCGAAGCUGGCCCCGAGAUGAGUCAUCCCUAGAGCUUCGAGCUCUCUAAAGGGUUGUUCUAGACGAGAACGUUGAUAGGCAGGGUGUGUAAGCGCUGUGAGGCGUUGAGCUAACCUGUACUAAUGGCCCGUGAGGCUUAACCAU